Non-coding RNA from Picea glauca (white spruce), 87 nucleotides. Lineage: Eukaryota; Viridiplantae; Streptophyta; Pinopsida; Pinales; Pinaceae. The record is from Rfam.
GGAAAGAUGGUUGAGCGGUUCAAGGCGUAGCAUUGGAACUGCUAUGUAGGCUUCUGCUUAUCGAGGGUUCGAAUCCCUCUCUUUCCG